RNAcentral lists this ribosomal RNA (737 nucleotides) under uncultured bacterium. Its description in RNAcentral is "bacterial SSU rRNA". It matches the Rfam family "Bacterial small subunit ribosomal RNA", at positions 56 to 790 of the family's 1533-position model. The record is from RNAcentral.
UGCAAGUCGAACGAAGCACUGUAAACGGAGAUUCGUCGAAGUUUACUUUGACUUAGUGGCGGACGGGUGAGUAAUGUAUGAGCAACCUGCCUUUCAGUGGGGGACAACAGUUGGAAACGACUGCUAAUACCGCAUGAUGUCAAUUGGGGGCAUCCCCGAAUGACCAAAGGAUUUAUUCGCUGAAAGAUGGGCUCAUAUCUGAUUAGCUAGUUGGUGAGGUAACGGCUCACCAAGGCUGCGAUCAGUAGCCGGACUGAGAGGUUGAACGGCCACAUUGGGACUGAGAUACGGCCCAGACUCCUACGGGAGGCAGCAGUGGGGAAUAUUGGGCAAUGGGCGAAAGCCUGACCCAGCAACGCCGCGUGAAGGAAGAAGGUCUUCGGAUUGUAAACUUCUUUUAUGAGGGACGAAGGACGUGACGGUACCUCAUGAAUAAGCCACGGCUAACUACGUGCCAGCAGCCGCGGUAAUACGUAGGUGGCAAGCGUUAUCCGGAUUUACUGGGUGUAAAGGGCGCGUAGGCGGGAAUGCAAGUCAGAUGUGAAAUCUAUGGGCUUAACCCAUAAACUGCAUUUGAAACUGUAUCUCUUGAGUGCUGGAGAGGUAGACGGAAUUCCUUGUGUAGCGGUGAAAUGCGUAGAUAUAAGGAAGAACACCAGUGGCGAAGGCGGUCUACCGGACAGUAACUGACGCUGAGGCGCGAGAGCGUGGGGAGCAAACAGGAUUAGAUACCCUGG